AUACUUUGUUCUUCCCCUGGCCGCAGGGACUCCAUUGUCUGCGGGAGCACAAAAGCCCGCACAUCCUGACGAAGAAACACUUCAGACGAAGUGCAUGUAAUAUGCAGGCUAGAAGAUAUGUGUGCAAAUGCAGAUGAAACUUACUGACCAAGGGACACCAGGAGGGACACGAAAACCUAGAGAACUAAGUGGGCAAGAUGCCCAGGCAGCGGACAGAAGACAGAGAUGAACAAAAUCCAAAGAGCCACCUGGGGAACAGAUGGGGACCGGGCACCAGAAUACUCUUCCCAAAUCAAAUGGAAAUCAGGAAGCCUGUCCAAAGAUUUGAGGGACAGGGAGAGUGAGCAACGCAGAGGGAAUCAUGACCAAUAAGCUCCUUUCCUGAAGAACGUGGCUAAAGCAGGUCCAGGCACAAUGGGGGUUCCUGUUAAAUGUUUAUAAUAUGUUCAACCAGUUCUAGUGGGAAAUCUCAAAGGAUACUACAAUUUUCAACCUUAAAAUACCCUUUUUCUUCAGUGGGUAUAUUUGUUUUUAAGAAGCCAAGUACAAUAAAAUAUUCAUCGUG
Molecule: long non-coding RNA, 565 nt
Filed under: Equus asinus (donkey)
Lineage: Eukaryota; Metazoa; Chordata; Mammalia; Perissodactyla; Equidae
Description: lncRNA (ENSEASG00005025975.1)
Source: RNAcentral